AUCCUUCUGUAGUUCAUAAGCGUGAUGAUUUGGGUGUUCACGCGGCUGCGUGGCGUGUGCCUCCCUCGAUCCUUGUUAGGACUGCGGCACAUUACCCAUCUGACG
This 105-nucleotide small nucleolar RNA is filed under the name Catagonus wagneri (Chacoan peccary). RNAcentral's name for it is "Small nucleolar RNA U13 (ENSCWAG00000021423.1)". It matches the Rfam family "Small nucleolar RNA U13". Lineage: Eukaryota; Metazoa; Chordata; Mammalia; Artiodactyla; Tayassuidae. The record is from Rfam by way of RNAcentral.